AACCUCCGCAAUGUGAGAAAUCGCGACGGGGGGAUCCCAAGUGCCAUUCUUAACGGGAUGACUUUUCAUUAGUGUAAAGAGCUUUUGGAAUAAGGGCUGGGCAAGACCGGUGCCAGCCGCCGCGGUAACACCGGCAGCUCUAGUGGUAGCAGUUUUUAUUGGGCCUAAAGCGUCCGUAGCCGGUUUAAUAAGUCUCUGGUGAAAUCCUGUAGCUUAACUGUGGGAAUUGCUGGAGAUACUAUUAGACUUGAGACCGGGAGAGGUUAGAGGUACUCCCAGGGUAGAGGUGAAAUUCUGUAAUCCUGGGAGGACCGCCUGUUGCGAAGGCGUCUAACUGGAACGGUUCUGACGGUGAGGGACGAAAGUUAGGGGCGCGAACCGGAUUAGAUACCCGGGUAGUCCUAACUGUAAACGAUGCGGACUUGGUGUUGGGGUGGCUUUGAGCUGCUCCAGUGCCGAAGGGAAGCUGUUAAGUCCGCCGCCUGGGAAGUACGGUCGCAAGACUGAAACUUAAAGGAAUU
This 521-nucleotide ribosomal RNA is filed under the name uncultured bacterium. Its description in RNAcentral is "bacterial SSU rRNA". It matches the Rfam family "Archaeal small subunit ribosomal RNA", at positions 345 to 866 of the family's 1478-position model. The record is from RNAcentral.